UUUAUGGAGAGUUUGAUCCUGGCUCAGGAUGAACGCUGGCGGCGUGCCUAAUACAUGCAAGUCGAGCGAACGGACGAGAAGCUUGCUUCUCUGAUGUUAGCGGCGGACGGGUGAGUAACACGUGGAUAACCUACCUAUAAGACUGGGAUAACUUCGGGAAACCGGAGCUAAUACCGGAUAAUAUUUUGAACCGCAUGGUUCAAAAGUGAAAGACGGUCUUGCUGUCACUUAUAGAUGGAUCCGCGCUGCAUUAGCUAGUUGGUAAGGUAACGGCUUACCAAGGCAACGAUGCAUAGCCGACCUGAGAGGGUGAUCGGCCACACUGGAACUGAGACACGGUCCAGACUCCUACGGGAGGCAGCAGUAGGGAAUCUUCCGCAAUGGGCGAAAGCCUGACGGAGCAACGCCGCGUGAGUGAUGAAGGUCUUCGGAUCGUAAAACUCUGUUAUUAGGGAAGAACAUAUGUGUAAGUAACUGUGCACAUCUUGACGGUACCUAAUCAGAAAGCCACGGCUAACUACGUGCCAGCAGCCGCGGUAAUACGUAGGUGGCAAGCGUUAUCCGGAAUUAUUGGGCGUAAAGCGCGCGUAGGCGGUUUUUUAAGUCUGAUGUGAAAGCCCACGGCUCAACCGUGGAGGGUCAUUGGAAACUGGAAAACUUGAGUGCAGAAGAGGAAAGUGGAAUUCCAUGUGUAGCGGUGAAAUGCGCAGAGAUAUGGAGGAACACCAGUGGCGAAGGCGACUUUCUGGUCUGUAACUGACGCUGAUGUGCGAAAGCGUGGGGAUCAAACAGGAUUAGAUACCCUGGUAGUCCACGCCGUAAACGAUGAGUGCUAAGUGUUAGGGGGUUUCCGCCCCUUAGUGCUGCAGCUAACGCAUUAAGCACUCCGCCUGGGGAGUACGACCGCAAGGUUGAAACUCAAAGGAAUUGACGGGGACCCGCACAAGCGGUGGAGCAUGUGGUUUAAUUCGAAGCAACGCGAAGAACCUUACCAAAUCUUGACAUCCUUUGACAACUCUAGAGAUAGAGCCUUCCCCUUCGGGGGACAAAGUGACAGGUGGUGCAUGGUUGUCGUCAGCUCGUGUCGUGAGAUGUUGGGUUAAGUCCCGCAACGAGCGCAACCCUUAAGCUUAGUUGCCAUCAUUAAGUUGGGCACUCUAAGUUGACUGCCGGUGACAAACCGGAGGAAGGUGGGGAUGA
This 1200-nucleotide ribosomal RNA is filed under the name Staphylococcus aureus. RNAcentral's name for it is "bacterial SSU rRNA". It matches the Rfam family "Bacterial small subunit ribosomal RNA", at positions 1 to 1182 of the family's 1533-position model. Lineage: Bacteria; Bacillati; Bacillota; Bacilli; Caryophanales; Staphylococcaceae. The record is from RNAcentral.